AAACUCUCAUGGGCUUUUCAGCCAGAUCUGAAUGCCUUAACAGCUGAUUCUGAGGCCAGAGUGCUGUUUAGGACAUCUGCCAUUCUAUGAAUCUGCUGUGUAUCCUCCUUCCCAUACAACCCUCUGUUUCUAACUGGCCUUGAGACCAUCUUCACAAAUAGACCCUACCAAGUUUGGUAAUAGUAACAUGAAUAGCUGUCUAUUGAGUCUUUGUACGUUGGCACAUGUUACAAGACAUCGCCUCAGGGUGAGUAUUUGGCACUGCUUGGGAUGCCCUCAUACUGUUUCAGAGUGCCUGAGUUCAUGUCCAUGCUCUGCUUCCAAUUCCAUUUCCCUGCUAACGUGGACUCUGGGACUGCCAUCCUUGUGGAAGACAUCAAUUGAGUUCCUGGCUCUUUUGACCUGGCCUACUAGCCCCAGCUGUUGCAGACCUUUGGGAGUGAUCCAGAAGAUAAACCAAAAGGACAAUGCAAAUAGUUCAGUGUCACACAAAUAGUCAAUGGUGUUGUUGGGAUUCAACUUCAAGUCUGACUGACAGACUCCAAAACCUCUGCUCCUUCACUGGCAACCAUAUCUUCCCUGAUCUCAUCCAUGGGGCAUACACUUGGGAAAGAGUUUCAUGAAUCUGCACAGGUACCUCAUCUGGGCAGAGUCUCAAAUUGGUCCUCAAGACCUAGUUCAAGAAAUGAGCACCCAGGGCCGGCACUAUGGCACAGCAGGUUAACGCACUGGCCUGAAGCACUGGCAUCCCAUAUGGUCGCUUGUUGAGACUCGACUGCUCCACUUCCGAUCCAGCUCUCUGCUAUGGCCUGGGAAAGCAGUGGAAGAUGGCCCAAGUCCUUGGGCCCCUGCACCUGCGUGGGAGACCUGGAGGAAGCUCCUGGCUCCUGGCUUUGGAUCGACACAGCUCUAGCUGUUGCAGCCAAUUGGGGAGUGAACCAUCAGAUGGUAGACCUCUCUCUCUCUCUCUCUGCCCCCCCCCACCCAUACCCUCC
This is a non-coding RNA of Oryctolagus cuniculus (rabbit), 995 nucleotides long. The record is from RefSeq and is a predicted model, not a curated record. NCBI's taxonomy places the organism in Eukaryota, Metazoa, Chordata, Mammalia, Lagomorpha, Leporidae.